UCCCUGAGACCCUAAAACGUG
RNAcentral lists this microRNA (21 nucleotides) under Ciona intestinalis (vase tunicate). RNAcentral describes it as "cin-miR-125-5p". Its record names the gene cin-miR-125-5p. The record is from miRBase by way of RNAcentral. Lineage: Eukaryota; Metazoa; Chordata; Ascidiacea; Phlebobranchia; Cionidae.